GGCUGGAUAGCUCAGGUGGUAGAGCACCAGACCAGGAAUCCGGAGGCCGCAGGUUCAAACCCUGCUCCAGUCA
Patiria miniata (bat star) is the source of this 73-nucleotide non-coding RNA. The record is from the annotation of a RefSeq genome assembly. NCBI's taxonomy places the organism in Eukaryota, Metazoa, Echinodermata, Asteroidea, Valvatida, Asterinidae.